Molecule: long non-coding RNA, 1261 nt
Organism: Peromyscus maniculatus bairdii (prairie deer mouse)
Lineage: Eukaryota; Metazoa; Chordata; Mammalia; Rodentia; Cricetidae
Source: RefSeq, a predicted model, not a curated record
GUCUAGAACUAUUGACAAACAUCUGCAGACUAUAGACUAGUCACUAUUCAUUGAAAAUUCAUAUAGACCAAAGUGGGAAACACACAAUUUUCUCAUAAUUUUUACAGGAAUUUUAACAUUUCAAGUGUGAUUUCCUUCCUGGGAACGUUUAAUUCUAAAUGACUUCCAAUGUUCUUACCUCCUAUAGACAUAGCAUCAAAGGACCAAAUUCAACAAAUGAGCUUAAGAGAAUUGCAGCUCUGGACGGGCGGUGAUGCGCGGAAGGUGGUUUGAAGACUUGGCUGCUCUUUGCAAUCCGGGGAGGAAGGUCAGCAGGCAGCCUCCAGCCUUCUGUCAGCUCCCUCAGCUCCUGGCUCAAGUGCAAGAGCUAAGAUGACUUCCGUCCCUCUCUUCACAGAACAGCUUCUCACCAGUGACUGAGUCAUCAACCUACAUCUGACAGGCUACAGCACCACCUGCUCUGUGGCCUGAGGACUUGCCCCACUUACAUGCUUCUUCUGAUACAGAACUCCGUUCCUUCACAAGUGUGACACUGUCCUUUCACUCCAGAUUUUGUUUCAUCUGCUUCCCAGGAAAGAAACAUAGGAUAGGCCAGAGGUCCCAUAAACAAUAAUUUGAAACUUAAUUCUCAACCAAUGUCUUCCUUCUUUUAGCUGCUUGAUUUUUAGGUUGCUGCUGUUGUAAGCGACUUCAGAAUCAAAAUAGGUGAUUGACACCUUCAUUUCUCAUUGCUUCCCUUUAUCCUUCAAUUUGACCACCUCCUUUCUUGGUCAUCAUUCACCUUUCUCUGUGCAUGCUUAUGUAUCAUUUGGUUGAGAUUUAGCAAGUUCAUUUUAUUCAAAGGUACAACUAAUACAUGUUAGUUCUGAACAAAUUCCAUCAUUUAUUUCUGAGAUAUUCAUCACUAAUUCUUAUAUUCUCAUGAUCUUUAAUUUCAAUUUAAAAUAAUAUUUCUAUUUUUCACCCUAACUUCAAAUUCAUGUUUUACAUUCCUUUACACGGACACACACAUUGUUACAUAUACACCUAUCUACAUAAGCCCAUCCUAUGUAAUGUAUAUCAUAUUACUUGUAUGUAUGUCUUCAGAGCUGACAAUUUGCUAUUGGAUAACCAGUUGGUUGUUGUAAUCUUCCUGGGGAAGACUGUUUCUCCAAUUCCUCAUCAUUCCUUGGUUACCUAUAGUUCUUUGUAUAGGAUUGAAACUUCUGGGUUUUACCUUGUCCACAUUAACAUGCCUGUUUUUGUUCUCCUUCUUCAACUC